This is a long non-coding RNA of Pan troglodytes (chimpanzee), 7685 nucleotides long. RefSeq lists it as uncharacterized. Lineage: Eukaryota; Metazoa; Chordata; Mammalia; Primates; Hominidae. The transcript has 11 exons. The record is from RefSeq and is a predicted model, not a curated record.
AGCAGGCGGCUCUCCCCUGCUCCCCCACCGAGCACAGACCGUGGGAGGGGACCCUGCGGGAGGAGGCUGCUUCAGUCUCCAGAGACCAUCUCCCAUCUCUACAGCGACUCCCCUAUGACCGUCCCCCACCCGGUGCUCUCGGGCCACGGGGAAGGGACACUCGGGAAAGACACCAGAGACCGGGAGGGUGCAGCUGGGCUCUUCGCGGGGAGCGGGCGGGAGGCCUUCCUGUUACAUGUCGCAGCUGGGACACAGAGGGCAGCGCUCCAGGGUCCACUUGCCGGCUUCGGUUCCCUCAGGCCCAGGACCAGGCUCCACACCGCUGUCGCGUCCCUUAGCCGUGUGGGCUGUAGCACAGAGGGGGCAAACACCUCCAGGGGCUUGUGCCAAGUAAUUACCAAGCAAAUUCCCGGCUAUUUCCUCUCCUCCCCCCGCCCCCCCGGCCAGUGCCCGCUGCGUGUUCCCUGAUUCGGCCCCCGGCUGUGCAAUCAGCUCCAGGUAACCUGCGGGGACCCGUAAUUGCUCUGGAGUUGCCUGCGAGUUUGCAAGGUGGACACGGAAUUGUAGUGCUGGUCCUCCCUCUGCACUGGACUGGAUUCUGCCAAAGUCAACCAAGCGCCUUCAGUUGCUGACUCUCGUCUCCAGAUAUUUACUGAAUACAUGCCAUGUUCCAAACAUUCAGAAAGGAGUUGUAAUCGAUAAAGAAGACACCUGUCUACAAGAAGCUUACAGUCUACUGGCCAGAGAUGAGAUGUGUCCACAGAUAACCACGCUGCAAGUUAAGUAAAGAAGAAUCUGUAAGAGUGCUAUGCCACUGUGACCUGUUCUUUGAAAAAGCUUGGUGUGUGAAAUGAAAUCACAAAGCAACUUUCUUGAUUUCCCACUAUUUACAUUUACUUAAGGAGGAAAGUUCUACUAACCCCGAAUAUGUACAUGGAAAGAUCCAUGACCUUUCGGAAUAUUUUGGGGGAAAUAAAAUGUUCAAUGAUACCUGAAAUCAUAUCUAGAUUGAACUCAUAUUUAGAAUGCCUGAUCCCAUGUAAUGGUCAAAGCUUCCAACUUCAUACAAAGUUAUAGCUGGUUUCUCUCUCCCCAGCCAGUGCCUGCAACAGGGCAGGGGUUGAAUGGUCAGCUUCUAUCGGCAGAGGUCCCAUUGUUCCUGCAUGAGGCCCAGUGGGCAGGGCCUAACUUUGUACCAUCCCAGCUCUCUUGCUUGCAAAGCCCAUAUGCAAACCCUAGGAAACACUUACGCAUCUUUGCCUGAGCAGAUACCGGGAGAGCAACUCACCCAUGUGCCACCUCCUCUGCUUUCCUCCCUUCUGUCACCCAGAUUUUACAGGUGAAGGUCACAUGUCAGGCACUCAUUCUCCCACACUACAGGGGACAUACACUCUGCUGUCUGAGUGGUCCCAUUGAAGACCCCCUAGCCGACUGGAGAUAAGAUACAGUUACACCUGCCUCUCCCCUUAGGGAGGUGGAACUCACAGCUCAGCUGUCUCUAAAGAAGCCCUCUUCACAAAUACCUUCCUGUCAACCUCCCACACACUUAUUUUUUUAAUACCCUUGACAAGAGUGAGGGUUUUGAGCUGUGAAACCAGUUUCUGGAUAUUUCCUUUGAAAUUUCCAUCCCAGUCUGGCUCCUUGCUGGAGCAGCCAAUAUUCUGCCAUUUCAGGUGCUGAGCCCUGGCCUGGGAGGUGCCAGCAGGGAGAGGCCAAUUCCAGCAGAGGAGAGUCCAGGCAUGUGGGGAUAUGGUGCUGUUCUCCAUGGAGGGAGAAACAGGGCAUUAAUAAAAGUGCCAGGAAUAACCCUGUGAUUGAUGGGUAAAGGUCAUGGACUCUGGGAUACUGGCACGCACUGAUGGGAACCUGUUAGGGCUGGACCGGGACCAUCUCUGGCUUCCUGCUUCCCUCAGGUACCAGGAUGCUCUGCUAUGGUCUCUGGCAAAACUGAGCACUGGGGCUGGGCACAUAAUUUUGCCUGGGACAACUGCUGUAGGGGCUUCAGAAUGCCUGGUUUUCUAAAUUUUAUUGGUGUCAGGAGAGAGCUUUGAUAAGCUUUAAUGUGCUAUUAAUUAUUUGGGCUGUUAAAAAAGGGAGUGCAUGAGAGGCUUGGAGUUGAAUGAUCUCAUUUCUGAGGUUCUGAGGAGGUACACACAUACACCCCAGUGGAAGCCAACUCAGGAUCCAGCUGCUCACGGAGUUCCUCCCUCUGCUCAGACACCAAGAGCGCUGCUGCCUGAGACUGAGCAGAGUAGGGAACUGGGGAGGAUCUCCACUGCUUUGAACUUAAAUGUAACUUGGGCAAUUUGGACUUUCUUUGGGCUUUAAUUCGCAAGGGCUAAAUACUUUGAUUUUGGACUUUAAUCUCUUUGGGAUUUUAAUCUCUAAAUUUUUCCCUAGGAAUUUGAUAAUGGGAAGGGUUUAUAUCCAAAUUUGGGGCAUCUUAUUUUCCCAUUUAUUAUUGAAGAAAUCUUUAUGCAUUUUUUAUUAGCUCUUUAUGCAUUUUAUUAUUGAAGUAUCUUCACUCUGCUAUUAAACCUCAUUACAGAACCUCUGAUGAGGUUAGUGGGCCAUGUGGCUGGACAUCAAUUUGGAUUGGAAAUAGAACACGCUCUGAACUUGCAGUCUUAGACACAACAUAGCCUUGGACUGGAUUUUAUUAACACACUGUUCUGGCUCAUCUCAGAGGCUUAUGGAAGUGAAAUCAACAGUGUCUUAGGAUGGUCCCAGGAAGGCACAGGAAGAAACAGAGGUUGAUGCUGGGGGAGCGACCUCCUGCUCAGAUAGUUAGCUCAUCCCCUCCUGGAGCCAGAUGACCACAUACCUGGUUGUCCAGGGGUUAAACAUUAAGCCCAGCUGGUUAAGAUAACAAAAAUCUGGGGAAUUUUUAUCCCCUUCCUUCUCUAGUUUUCAUAUAGAGGGACUUCCCUGACCCCACACACUUGGCCCCUCUCUACUCCCUUUUUGACCCAGCUAGGAGUGAUUUGUCACUUGAGUUUAUGUAUGACUCACUCUCUUCCCCUCCCUCUCCCUCUCUUUUGGUAUAUGCCUGCCCUGGGAGAACACACAAGCUCUGCUGUCAGCCAUGUGGAAUGAAGCAUGCCGGGCCUCACCUCGGACCUGCACACUGCCCCUCAUUAUGUUCAUGAUCGGAAGGAAAUGGAUAAAGAGUGGCCAGAAGGUGAAAAAGAAGAGAUGACCCCCUGAAAGGGACAUCCACAUUUAUUUGAGCACCUACCAGCAAAGUGCUGGGCACACAGAAGGACAAUGUGAUGAAGCGCCAUCACAUGGCUGGUAGCCUGUGGUGAGUCACCGGACUUCUCGACUCCCACCUCACUAGGGUGGAAGGAACAGUAACCACAAGGCUCUGCAACUCGGGCUGCGCCCCCAUGAUUGGAAACAAUCUGUGAAAUGCCUUCAGCUCUCCAAAACAACAGAAAUGAUCAAAGAUGGAGGCAAGAAGACCAGAGAACCCUAAAUGUUUACUGUCUCCAGUGUGUUUGGAAACAGCUUGGACCAGUGUAGAGUGCUGGAACAGAGAGUCAAGAGCAUCAGAGCGUGUUGGCAGCUGCAGAUGUGCUUCAUGAGUCUUCUCAUUCAGGGACUUAGGCUGAAAGGGCAGCCCCUAAUUUGGGACCUGCCGAUCUGACAAUAGAAAGAACUGAGCAAGAGAACUGACCGAACACGCUGUACUCCUUGUAUCUUCUGAACUGACUCAUAUUCCAUGAAUCCAAAUGGAGUCUUGCUCUGUCGCCAGGCUGGAGUGCAGUGGCACGAUCUCGGCUCACUGCAACAUCUGCCUCCCAGGCAGCUACUUUGAUGACCUCCUCAAAUGCAAUGCAAAAGCUGGACUCUCCUCCGCCCCCAAGCACUCCCAGGCUCCUGGGCAGGGCCAUCAACUCCACUCCAGCCAUCCCUCCAGACUGGUGCCUGAAAAAUAGAAUUUCUGCUUCAGGGCACGGCUGUGGGACCGCCUUCCCCAUGCCCAGCGAGCCUCUUCUGCAUCUCUUUCUGCUGUGGCAAAGUGGGUUAAACAGCGCGCGGAUUUGCGAGGAACAUAGCCAACAAAUGAGAUAUCAAACGCAGCUUCCCGUGUAAGAGAUCAGACUCCGGCGGGCACACACGCCGGCGCUCUGCUGGAGCUCCUUGGCUCUGCAGCCAGCUUCAUUUAGGAUUCAUAAAUACUUUUGCGCACUCCCGCACAUACAGCCGCCAAAGGAAUUUCAUUCUGUAUCAUCUGCAUUCAAAUGCAACAAAGUGAAAAAAAAUGUGGACAUGAAAAAGAAGGAGAAGAAGAAGGAAGAGGCUCUGAAGAAAAUCUGAGGCUCGGAGUGGUGGGUGUUGGGUAGCUGAUGACUUGAGGAAGGCUUCCUCUACCUCUGUGUUCCUACAGAGAAGCCUGUCCCUGACUUCAGUUCACCUGUCGCAUGGUGGGUGAAUGCAGCCUAGACCUGCCGGCGUGGGGUAUGCUUUUCAAUGACACUUUUAAAAUAAUGAAUUGGAUGCUUGUCAAGGUAGGCAUCAACCUUAGAUAGGUAUCGGUCCUAAAGUUCCUCCUUCCAGCUGCUGGGGAGCUGGGACCUUUUGAUCUCCAACUUAGGCCUCAGUUAGCAAACUCAAAUGCUUUUGGGAACCAACCCGGGAAACCCAAAAGUAUGAAGCCAGUCAGGUAACCGGAGCGUUCCCGCUCAGGCCGAAGAAGGGAGCAGCUACUCCAUCCCAGCUGGUUAUUGUCAAGUGAGAAUUGUUAUCAAGUCCCCCCAUUUAUCAAAAGAAACCAGAAACACAUGUUUCGUUUGUUUGUUUGUUUUGAGAUGGAGUCUCGCUCUGUCGCCCAGGCUGGAGUGCAGUGGCGCCAUCUUGGCUCACUGCAACCUCCGCCUCACGGGUUCAAGCAACUCUCUGGCUCAGCCUCUCAAGUAGCUGGGAUUACAGGCACCUACCACCACGCCCAGAUAAUUUUUGCAUUUUUAGUAGAGACAGAGUUUCACCAUCUUGGCCAGGCUAGUCUUGAACUCCCGACCUCGUGAUCUACCCGCCUUGGGCUCCCAAAGUGCUGGGAUUACAAGCGUGAGCCACCGCGCCCGGCCCAGAAACACAUGUUUUUAAAAUGUAUGAAAUCUGGUUUUAAGUAAUAAGCACCAAUUUUUAAACUAUUAAAUACUCUGUUGGUCUAACAAAACAAUUCCAAUAGAUUACACCUUGUAGGAAUUCUACCCUAAACACCCUAGUCUAUCAAAGACUUACCUUCUGUCAUUGUUUGAAACACUUAUCUAUGUCUCAUAAUUUGCCAGGUUUUAUUUUUCUGACUUGUUCUCUAGCUUUUCGUUGUUUGCUCAGCAAGACUAUAUGCAUUUCAAGGGCAGGGCAUGUCUUAUUUUUGUUUUUUCCCAGUAGUUCUCAGCUGACGGUAAAAGCUUAGCAAUUUUUAGUUAGUUAUGACCUAACCCACCCCAUUCCACAAAAUAUUUGACAAUUUCUACAUAAAUGCAUGCUAAAGAAAAUAAAAUAAUUAGAUGCAUCAGAAUAAAUAAGUGGACUUGGCCUUCUAACCGAGUGCUUUUAUAGACAUGGUGCUUGAGUGAGUUUCCUCAGGAUAAUAUCCAAAUGUCUUCCUUAGAUUAUAGGCAGACCCAGAAGCUUGGGAGGGUCCCUGGAACAUGGGGAAAGUACACAUAGUGUGAAUAAAGACAAGGCAAGUGCAAUGGCCUUGGAGAAUGAGUUCUGUGAAUAGUAAGGCAGAGAGAUCAGGAUGUGAGAUCCACAACCCACCUGGAACUAGGAACCAAAAUAAUGAACGGCUGCCUCUCUGUGGAGCUUCUUUUGGUUGUAAGUGACAGACAUAAAAUUGAAACUGGCUUAGGCAAAAAGAGGAAAGUAUUUGAAGGAUGCUGAAAUAAUAUCCUUCCAAGCCAUAGGACAAGAAAGGAUUCAUUUGGACCCACAGGAAAAUCUGAAGCAGACAUAUCGUGAUAACUCUGUGUUUCAUCUCUGUUUGUUCUUCAUUUUCUCUCUGUUCAGCUUCAUUUUCUCCCUCAGCAGCAGGCUUCCUCCAUGCAUUAGGGAACAGAAUGACCAACAACCUGCAUGCCUCCCAUCUCGCAGCUUCCACCCCUAGAGAGAACUGCUUCACACUCUUCUCAUAGCAAGGUGGAAACCCUUGGGGAAGGGCUCUGAAUGCCUCACUGGAGUUUAGAUGCCCACCUCAGAGCCAUCCCAUUCAAUGAUGACAGCUAUGACAGGGGUGGCCAUGAUUGACCUGGCUUUGGAAAGAUACCCACACAUGGAGUAACAACAUGGCAGCCUUUAUUUAAACCACAUGAUUCCUUUUAGGAGGGAAACAUUUCCAAGAAGAAAAGGACACUUCCUAGAAGAAGGGAAGGGUGCUGGCAGAUCAAAUGUCCCUGAAGUUCAUAUAGCACUUGGCUACAAAUGGCUUCUAUUUGUAUCAUCUCAUUUUAUUUAUUUUAUUUGUCCCUCACAAAACUGUGAGUAAUGUAGGGUAUCUAUAAUUGUUCCCAUUUGACUGGUGGAAUAAAUAACGUUAAGAGAGACUAAGCAACCAAGGUCACAUAGCUUUGAAAAAUGGCCAAUCCAGUACUCAACUCAUAUCUUUUUUUUUCUUUUACUUCAAUUCCAACACUCAUUCCACUAUACAGGAGGUGAGUGGGAAGGUUGUGACUUUCCAGAAAAAGAAUUUUUUAUUGCAAGAUCAUGCUCUUCUGAAUAAUAUAAAGCCUGGCUGGUAGAUCUCUAACUAGGCUGCUCCUCCUCUGCUCCUCAAGGUUUGCUGGAAUUUCCUGAGAUGCAAGCAGCUGACCUCAAUGGCCCUCCCUGCUCAGUUUAAGGAUUUUGUUGUCUGCCCAAGAUCCAUAUCCAAAGAUUCCACAUCCAUCCCUACUCCACUCCUGAGUGUGUAAUUUGGGGUAUUUAGAGGUACUUCUGCCUUAUGAAAUGACUGGAGCCCUCUGGGCCACAGGCAUGACUACCCAUUGGAAAAGAACUGAGACAGGGUAGAAAACACUGCUGGGAAUGCAAUACCAACUGAAAUGAAGAUGAUCCUUUCCAUUUUUUCAGCUGAGAGCAGCACCGCUUGCCACUGGUGGAUGGCGCAGCCCUAUAUUGAGUACUAUGGCCAUGGUGGCAAGGUACUUGGCAUCUUCCAUGCAAAGAUGAAAGAAAGAGGCCUUCUCGCCUGUAUCACCAGAAGACUCCUGUAGACUCACUGUCUCAUGGUCUCUCUUGCUUUUGAGGCAAAUCAUGAACAUGCAUCUUUUUCCAUCCUGCCUAUCGAUGCCCAGAGAAGUCCUGGAUCUAAUUGAUUUGAGUUGGAUCAGCCAGGCCCUGUGUCCAAGCUGCCUCGCCUGCGUGUAGUAAGUGCAGCAUACUAAAAAGAAAGAAUUACUCCUGACGCCAGGAUUAUAUCAUUGCCAAAUGCAUUGAUAAUAUAUGAAAGAUGUGGAAUAAUAUAACACUACUUAUCAAUUGAGGGAAGCCAUCCUGAGGAGGAGGCAAGUAAGGUUUCGAUUUCCCUUUCUGGAUGAACCCUGCCCCUCCAUCCCACAACGAUUUGCUGUUCCCUAGGUUUGGCCUCAUGCAUAAUUCAGUGAUCCGCAUGGCAGGAAAACAUUUAGAAAACUUCUUUUGCCUUCUCCAGGAGGCUGGGGCAAAGGUGGCUUACAGAU